RNAcentral lists this long non-coding RNA (209 nucleotides) under Marmota monax (woodchuck). Lineage: Eukaryota; Metazoa; Chordata; Mammalia; Rodentia; Sciuridae. The record is from RNAcentral.
AGAAAAAAGGGAAAUGGCUGGUGGGUGACAGUCUGAGACCUCGCCGCCAAGCUGGGAACCGGAGAGAUGGCCGAGACUGACCCCAAGACCGUGCAGGACCUCACCUCGGUGGUGCAGACACUCCUGCAGCAGAUGCAAGAUAAAUUUCAGACCAUGUCCGACCAGAUCAUUGGAAGAAUUGAUGAUAUGAGUAGUCGCAUUGAUGAUCU